UGGCCAUCCCCGGGGAGCCAGCGCUGGCUGAGAGGGAGGUCUCGCACCCUCCGACCCGUCGAACCUGAACCGAUUAGCAUCGGCGGAGGGAGUGGAGCGGCGCGCGCAA
RNAcentral lists this non-coding RNA (109 nucleotides) under Erythrobacter sp. RNAcentral's name for it is "TPP sequence". It matches the Rfam family "TPP riboswitch aptamer (THI element)". From Rfam's summary of the family: Vitamin B(1) in its active form thiamin pyrophosphate (TPP) is an essential coenzyme that is synthesised by coupling of pyrimidine and thiazole moieties in bacteria. The record is from RNAcentral. Lineage: Bacteria; Pseudomonadati; Pseudomonadota; Alphaproteobacteria; Sphingomonadales; Erythrobacteraceae.